CAUGCGUAUUCAUGGGUAUUUCACGAGGAGAAAAUAACUUAACAGCGCAUUAUCUAUGAUUGGUAACUAAGCUAAAUUAAGUGCUUGCAUCUAUAAAAGUCUCAGUUUAACUUGAAAUAUUGCAUCAUCUUUCAAAAUUCAAAAAUUUUGUAAAACCGAUUGUGAAUAAGUAUAACCCUGGUAGACUGUGAAAAUUUCAUUUGUAAAUUUUUUAGUUCCAGUGAUGGUGCAGAUUUUGUGAAAAUCGCCAGCUGAUCAUUAAGUAUGUGCCUGGAAUCUGUAAUUUUUCUGCUCACUGUGGAAGCAAGUGAAAACUACUGCUUUGACUUGGAAUUUUCUGGAGGUUCAUGGGUGGAAAAGCGCUCGGUGAGUCUCGUCUUGUUUCAUACCAUUCACGUGUUUUACACAUCCUCCUCUUCCGGUUUACUUUCAUCUGGAAAGUAGCUUUUCAAUCAGCGCGCUCUAUCCGCCGGAAGUUGAACUAGCUGAGGAUGAGCUUCACCGAAUCCUGCCUUUGGAGAGUAAAAUGCG
This 531-nucleotide long non-coding RNA is filed under the name Bemisia tabaci. Its description in RNAcentral is "lncRNA ENSASIAIIG001556". The record is from RNAcentral. Lineage: Eukaryota; Metazoa; Arthropoda; Insecta; Hemiptera; Aleyrodidae.